UACGGAGGGUGCAAGCGUUAUCCGGAUUCACUGGGUUUAAAGGGUGCGUAGGCGGGCAGGUAAGUCAGUGGUGAAAUCCUAGAGCUUAACUCUAGAACUGCCAUUGAUACUAUCUGUCUUGAAUAUUGUGGAGGUAAGCGGAAUAUGUCAUGUAGCGGUGAAAUGCUUAGAUAUGACAUAGAACACCUAUUGCGAAGGCAGCUGACUACGCAUAUAUUGACGCUGAGGCACGAAAGCGUGGGGAUCAAACAGG
This 253-nucleotide ribosomal RNA is filed under the name uncultured bacterium. RNAcentral's name for it is "partial 16S ribosomal RNA". It matches the Rfam family "Bacterial small subunit ribosomal RNA", at positions 524 to 776 of the family's 1533-position model. The record is from RNAcentral.